This 351-nucleotide ribosomal RNA is filed under the name uncultured bacterium. RNAcentral's name for it is "bacterial SSU rRNA". It matches the Rfam family "Bacterial small subunit ribosomal RNA", at positions 8 to 350 of the family's 1533-position model. The record is from RNAcentral.
AGAGUUUGAUCCUGGCUCAGGAUGAACGCUAGCUACAGGCUUAACACAUGCAAGUCGGAGGGGCAGCAUGUUGGUUGGCUUGCAACCAACGAAUGGCGACCGGCGCACGGGUGAGUAACGCGUAUCCAACCUACCCUUGUCCAUCGGAUAACCCGUCGAAAGGCGGCCUAACACGAUAUGCGGUUCACAGCAGGCAUCUAACGUGAACGAAAUGUGAAGGAGAAGGAUGGGGAUGCGGUCUGAUUAGCUUGUUGGCGGGGUAACGGCCACCAAGGCUACGAUCAGUAGGGGUUCUGAGAGGAAGGUCCCCACAUUGGAACUGAGACACGGUCCAAACUCCUACGGGAGGCA